GCGUGGCUAGCUCAGUCGGUAGAGCAUGAGACUCUUAAUCUCAAGGUCGGGGGUUCGACCCCCACUUUGGGCG
Daphnia pulex (common water flea) is the source of this 73-nucleotide non-coding RNA. The record is from Rfam. NCBI's taxonomy places the organism in Eukaryota, Metazoa, Arthropoda, Branchiopoda, Diplostraca, Daphniidae.